Non-coding RNA from Chiloscyllium plagiosum (whitespotted bambooshark), 475 nucleotides. The record is from the annotation of a RefSeq genome assembly. Lineage: Eukaryota; Metazoa; Chordata; Chondrichthyes; Orectolobiformes; Hemiscylliidae.
AGUCGAUCUCCGUUCAAAGUUUGUGCGAAGAUUUGUAGCUCGGGUGCUCGUUUUUGUGGUUCUGUUCGCCGAGCUGGAAGUUUUUGUUGCAAACGUUUCGUCCCCUGGCUAGGCGACAUCAUCAGUGCUUGGUUGAAAAAUGGCCAACCCUUGGAUUCUGGCUUCUUCACGUCUCCCGUGUGUGAGGCGAACGGGAACUUCUCGGUGACGAGUCGGCUGAUGGUUCCUUAUGGUGAAUGGUUCAACAGCGCAGUUUAUACCUGCCAGGUCACUCAUGGAGAGAACACUCAAAGUAAAAACAUCACCGCACUCCAGGAAGAUACCGAGUGCCACCCUAACACCGUUAAAAUCCUCCCACCGCCAGUAGAACAAGUCUUACUGGAAGCGACGGUGACGUUAACCUGCGUUGUGUCCAAUCUUCCUUCUGGAGUCAACGUGACCUGGAAAUAAGAAAAGAAGCCUCUGAAAUCAGAGA